GGCCGGGUGGCCUAAUGGUAAGGCGUCAGAUUUCGGCGAGGUUAUCCUCUCAGUCUCUGAAAACUGCGGGUUCGAGUCCCGUCUCGGUCG
Aspergillus carlsbadensis is the source of this 90-nucleotide non-coding RNA. The record is from the annotation of a GenBank genome assembly. NCBI's taxonomy places the organism in Eukaryota, Fungi, Ascomycota, Eurotiomycetes, Eurotiales, Aspergillaceae.